RNAcentral lists this unclassified non-coding RNA (343 nucleotides) under soil metagenome. Its description in RNAcentral is "partial contains 5.8S ribosomal RNA, internal transcribed spacer 2, and large subunit ribosomal RNA". The stretch from base 1 to 120 matches the Rfam family "5.8S ribosomal RNA", at positions 35 to 154 of the family's 154-position model. The record is from RNAcentral.
GAUGAAGAACGUAGCGAAAUGCGAUAAGUAAUGUGAAUUGCAGAAUUCAGUGAAUCAUCGAAUCUUUGAACGCACAUUGCGCCCGCCAGCAUUCUGGCGGGCAUGCCUGUUCGAGCGUCAUUUCAACCCUCGAGCCCCCCCGGGGGCCUCGGUGUUGGGGGACGGCACACCAGCCGCCCCCGAAAUGCAGUGGCGACCCCGCCGCAGCCUCCCCUGCGUAGUAGCACACACCUCGCACCGGAGCGCGGAGGCGGUCACGCCGUAAAACGCCCAACUUUCUUAGAGUUGACCUCGGAUCAGGUAGGAAUACCCGCUGAACUUAAGCAUAUCAAUAAGCGGAAGA